This is a long non-coding RNA of Patiria miniata (bat star), 257 nucleotides long. RefSeq lists it as uncharacterized. The transcript has 3 exons. The record is from RefSeq and is a predicted model, not a curated record. NCBI's taxonomy places the organism in Eukaryota, Metazoa, Echinodermata, Asteroidea, Valvatida, Asterinidae.
CAAGCCUCGUCAGGUGAGAUCAAGCCCAUACUCAUGUCUGAGCGGCUGUGGGGUGUACUUAAAGCCCGAGGUGUGCAGCGUGACACAUUGGAAAAAAUGCAGAACGAAAAGAUUGACGAGGAUGUCAUUAUUGAAAUGACGGAUGAAGAACUCAGCGAGUACAUUCCUCGUAAGGGUGACCGAGUUGUCGUUAAGGCUUUCGUCCGGAAGGAGAACAGUGAAACUCAAACUCAGAAGAGGAAGUUUACACUGCUCGA